RNAcentral lists this ribosomal RNA (540 nucleotides) under uncultured Geobacter sp. Its description in RNAcentral is "bacterial SSU rRNA". It matches the Rfam family "Bacterial small subunit ribosomal RNA", at positions 8 to 526 of the family's 1533-position model. RNAcentral also lists the same sequence under 1 other name. Lineage: Bacteria; Pseudomonadati; Thermodesulfobacteriota; Desulfuromonadia; Geobacterales; Geobacteraceae. The record is from RNAcentral.
AGAGUUUGAUCCUGGCUCAGAACGAACGCUGGCGGCGUGCUUAACACAUGCAAGUCGAACGUGAUCCAGAGCUUGCUCUGGUGAAAGUGGCGCACGGGUGAGUAACGCGUGGAUAACCUGCCCUGGUAUCUGGGAUAACAUCUCGAAAGGGGUGCUAAUACCGGAUAAGCCUACGGGCUCUUCGGAGUCUGCAGGAAAAGGAGGCCUCUAUUUAUAAGCUUCCGUAUCAUGAUGGGUCCGCGUACCAUUAGCUAGUUGGUGGGGUAAUGGCCUACCAAGGCGACGAUGGUUAGCUGGUCUGAGAGGAUGAUCAGCCACACUGGAACUGAGACACGGUCCAGACUCCUACGGGAGGCAGCAGUGGGGAAUUUUGCGCAAUGGGGGAAACCCUGACGCAGCAACGCCGCGUGAGUGAUGAAGGCUUUCGGGUCGUAAAGCUCUGUCAGAGGGGAAGAAAUGAAACGUGCUAAUAUCACGUUUUCUUGACGGUACCCUCAAAGGAAGCACCGGCUAACUCCGUGCCAGCAGCCGCGGUAAUAC